RNAcentral lists this ribosomal RNA (982 nucleotides) under Ophiocordyceps sp. RNAcentral's name for it is "partial 18S rRNA". It matches the Rfam family "Eukaryotic small subunit ribosomal RNA", at positions 129 to 763 of the family's 1831-position model. The record is from RNAcentral. Lineage: Eukaryota; Fungi; Ascomycota; Sordariomycetes; Hypocreales; Ophiocordycipitaceae.
ACCUUACUACUUGGAUAACCGUGGUAAUUCUAGAGCUAAUACAUGCUGAAAAUCCCGACUUCGGAAGGGAUGUAUUUAUUAGAUUAAAAACCAAUGCCCUCUGGGCUCUCUGGUGAUUCAUGAUAACUGCGCGAAUCGCAUGGCCUUGCGCCGGCGAUGGUUCAUUCAAAUUUCUUCCCUAUCAACUUUCGAUGUUUGGGUAGUGGCCAAACAUGGUUGCAACGGGUAACGGAGGGUUAGGGCUCGGCCCCGGAGAAGGAGCCUGAGAAACGGCUACUACAUCCAAGGAAGGCAGCAGGCGCGCAAAUUACCCAAUCCCGACACGGGGAGGUAGUGACAAUAAAUACUGAUACAGGGCUCUUUUGGGUCUUGUAAUUGGAAUGAGUACAAUUUAAAUCCCUUAACGAGGAACAAUUGGAGGGCAAGUCUGGUGAACGUUGCUGGUGCCAGAGAUAGCCGCCCCUCGAUAAAUAAAGCAGCUAGUCGAGUGCUCAUGAAGUGACGGGUGAGCACCGGCGAGACAACCUGGGUCGGGGAAGGCUAAGGGCCCCCGCAUGGGGCCUAUGCUAAUCCCGAGCAGAGCCGGUACUUCGCGGCCUGUGUAGAGCGCGCCAAGGUGUCGGUUCCGGGACAGAGUGUUCCCGGGGCUUAAGGUACGUGCCAAUCCCCUGCGAAAGCAGGGCCCUGCGGACAAGCGCCCGUUACGCAAAGCUGCAGGGGGCCUCUUAGCGAGGCCGCGAUCUCAGCAAGUUGGGCCCUCCGGGGGAGACUUAGCUUAGAUGCCUUAAAUGGCCAGCAGCCGCGGUAAUUCCAGCUCCAAUAGCGUAUAUUAAAGUUGUUGUGGUUAAAAGCUCGUAGUUGAACCUUGGGCCUGGCCGGCCGGUCCGCCUCACGCGUGCACUGGUCCGGCCGGGCCUUUCCCCCCGCGGAACCCCAUGCCCUUCACUGGGCGUGGCGGGAAACGGGACUUUUACUUUGAAAA